This 24-nucleotide small nuclear RNA is filed under the name Arabidopsis thaliana (thale cress). RNAcentral's name for it is "snRNA_05777". Lineage: Eukaryota; Viridiplantae; Streptophyta; Magnoliopsida; Brassicales; Brassicaceae. The record is from RNAcentral.
UUUUCUUAAAACAAUUAAGCCUAA